RNAcentral lists this small RNA (998 nucleotides) under Arabidopsis thaliana (thale cress). RNAcentral describes it as "ATSL155210". The record is from RNAcentral. Lineage: Eukaryota; Viridiplantae; Streptophyta; Magnoliopsida; Brassicales; Brassicaceae.
AAACAAAAACAAUUUAAUUGGUUUUAAUGAUCAUAUUAAUUUGAAACUUUUAUUCAUAAUUAUUUAAGAAUCUGAAUAGUAUUUAUAAAAUCAAAUUAUUGGACAAAACUAAAAUGUUUAAAAUCAAUUUGAAAACAAAGUCUAUCUACUUCCGCGUUGAUGGUGACCACUAUGGAAUCUCUUCUUGAACAUAGUCAUCCAUCCCAAAAGCUGACUCCUAUGAGCAGCUGAAACCCAAAUACGAUGGGGUUAUCAAGUGAAUCCUCUUGAGCACCUCUUCAUAUUUAAUCAUGUCGUAUAAGGUAUGAGGUAUCCAUCUGUUGAAAUAUAAAUUUUUAUUAAAUCAAGCAGAAAAAGAGAAAGUUAAAAUCAAUGAUCAUGGGCUAGAAGCAAGCAAGAGAGGCCACACAACCAAUAAUCUGAAACAAUUGUCAAAAACAAAAUCAACUGCGAAAGGAAGGAAGCAACUGAUCAAAUCAAGAAAGAGGUAAGAGACCAACCUUUGUGUGAUAAGACGAAAAUCACCAAGAGCCCGGAGAACUUGAGAGAAAAGAGGGAACAAACUUAGAGCUUGAUGGAGAAGAUUCAAGAGGAUCCAACAUGAAACAGAGUGAAAAGAGAAGAAUUCAACACUAUCACGAUAAGCUUUUCAAUCCCACCAUCAUUGUAAGUCUCGAGUGAACAUAAUAAAUUUCUAGAAAAGAAAAGAAACGAAAGAGAGCCACAAAUAACUCCCAUAUGCUGACGUGUCCAUUAGAAAGAGUAUUUUUGAGAAUGCUGAGUUGGACACUUUGAAAGGCCUCGAUAAGUUCCUUUUAUUAGACUAACAACAAUGGUUUUUUCAUUCAACAUCGUCUACAUCAUCUUCUCCCUCUUCCUCAUCCUUUCCUCUCUCUUCCACAUAAUAAUUCAAUACCAAUUCAAAUUUUAUACUCUACAAUGGUUUCUUUAAUAAAAUUUAACAUCCUACCCCACCAUUUUUAUUUCAUUAUUUUUCU